GAUGAACGCUGGCGGCGUGCUUAACACAUGCAAGUCGAGCGAAGCGCUUACGACAGAACCUUCGGGGGAAGAUGUAAGGGACUGAGCGGCGGACGGGUGAGUAACGCGUGGGUAACCUGCCUCAUACAGGGGGAUAACAGUUGGAAACGGCUGCUAAUACCGCAUAAGCGCACAGUAUCGCAUGAUACGGUGUGAAAAACUCCGGUGGUAUGAGAUGGACCCGCGUCUGAUUAGCUAGUUGGAGGGGUAACGGCCCACCAAGGCGACGAUCAGUAGCCGGCCUGAGAGGGUGAACGGCCACAUUGGGACUGAGACACGGCCCAGACUCCUACGGGAGGCAGCAGUGGGGAAUAUUGCACAAUGGGGGAAACCCUGAUGCAGCGACGCCGCGUGAAGGAAGAAGUAUCUCGGUAUGUAAACUUCUAUCAGCAGGGAAGAAAAUGACGGUACCUGACUAAGAAGC
Molecule: ribosomal RNA, 463 nt
Filed under: uncultured bacterium
Lineage: Bacteria
Description: bacterial SSU rRNA
Rfam family: Bacterial small subunit ribosomal RNA
Source: RNAcentral